This 389-nucleotide ribosomal RNA is filed under the name uncultured bacterium. RNAcentral's name for it is "bacterial SSU rRNA". It matches the Rfam family "Bacterial small subunit ribosomal RNA", at positions 30 to 417 of the family's 1533-position model. The record is from RNAcentral.
AUUGAACGCUGGCGGCAUGCUUUACACAUGCAAGUCGAACGGCAGCACGGGUGCUUGCACCUGGUGGCGAGUGGCGGACGGGUGAGUAAUACAUCGGAACGUGUCCAGAAGAGGGGGAUAACGCAUCGAAAGAUGUGCUAAUACCGCAUAUGCUCUGAGGAGGAAAGUAGGGGAUCGAAAGACCUUACGCUUUUGGAGCGGCCGAUGUCUGAUUAGCUAGUUGGUGGGGUAAGGGCCUACCAAGGCGACGAUCAGUAGUUGGUCUGAGAGGACGACCAGCCACACUGGGACUGAGACACGGCCCAGACUCCUACGGGAGGCAGCAGUGGGGAAUUUUGGACAAUGGGCGCAAGCCUGAUCCAGCAAUGCCGCGUGAGUGAAGAAGGCCU